GUGCCAGCCGCCGCGGUAAUACGUAGGUCCCGAGCGUUGUCCGGAUUUAUUGGGCGUAAAGCGAGCGCAGGCGGUUAGAUAAGUCUGAAGUUAAAGGCUGUGGCUUAACCAUAGUACGCUUUGGAAACUGUUUAACUUGAGUGCAAGAGGGGAGAGUGGAAUUCCAUGUGUAGCGGUGAAAUGCGUAGAUAUAUGGAGGAACACCGGUGGCGAAAGCGGCUCUCUGGCUUGUAACUGACGCUGAGGCUCGAAAGCGUGGGGAGCAAACAGGAUUAGAUACCCUGGUAGUCCACGCCGUAAACGAUGAGUGCUAGGUGUUAGACCCUUUCCGGGGUUUAGUGCCGCAGCUAACGCAUUAAGCACUCCGCCUGGGGAGUACGACCGCAAGGUUGAAACUUAAAUGAAUUGACGG
This 412-nucleotide ribosomal RNA is filed under the name uncultured Streptococcus sp. Its description in RNAcentral is "bacterial SSU rRNA". It matches the Rfam family "Bacterial small subunit ribosomal RNA", at positions 505 to 916 of the family's 1533-position model. Lineage: Bacteria; Bacillati; Bacillota; Bacilli; Lactobacillales; Streptococcaceae. The record is from RNAcentral.